This is a long non-coding RNA of Helianthus annuus (common sunflower), 472 nucleotides long. RefSeq lists it as uncharacterized. The transcript has 3 exons. The record is from RefSeq and is a predicted model, not a curated record. NCBI's taxonomy places the organism in Eukaryota, Viridiplantae, Streptophyta, Magnoliopsida, Asterales, Asteraceae.
AGUGAAAGAAGAGGCUGCUUUGAGUAGGAAAGAUGAAGAACUCGGAAUCUGAAUAGGUUUUGUAUGCAAGACAACAUGCAAGAGGGUAGGAUAUCAUCCAUUGUCCCAGCAGGACCUGCAAUACCAAUUAAAAUUCGUGUCAUAAGAAAGUGGCAGCCUCGCCUAUGAAACAGCGACAUGUACUACUUUUUCAUAGACAAACAUGGUGAUGGAAUACAAGCUAGCGUGCACUGGCUAGACAAAGAACUUUUCGAAAGGAAAAUCACCCUUUUCUCAUGCUACCUUCUGGAAAAAAUACAUAUGUGAUGACCAGCCAACACCACCAAGAGUGAAUUCACACAUCGCAAGCAUUCACAUGGGAACAAAAGCACCACUAACCUUAAUUCCUACACCAGAUGCAUUUCCAAUGUACUAUUUCAACUUUUGUCCCUAUUGCGACCUUUCACUUCAUACUGGUGACGAUCAAGAACUC